Molecule: long non-coding RNA, 1421 nt
Filed under: Sus scrofa (pig)
Lineage: Eukaryota; Metazoa; Chordata; Mammalia; Artiodactyla; Suidae
Description: lncRNA (ENSSSCG00015056268.1)
Source: RNAcentral
GGUUGAACUGGUUCUUAUUUAAGUAUGAUGAUUGCUAUUUUAUAGGCAGAGAAUAGGAGGCAAAGACAUUGACAGUGUAUAUUUGCAUUGAUGAGAAAACGUUGUACUUAGAGGCCUGUGUUCAAUGUAAUGACAUUAAUUGCAUUCUUGAUUUUCUAAAAAAUUUGGGGGUUCUUGGAUGGUUUAAGGGUAGAUUCUUGCAGAGGAGAUAAUAUGUUGGGGCUCUUUUUCCAUAAGUAGGUAAAGAUCUUGACCAGAUGUUUGAUAGCUUUGGUCCUUGUGAUCUAUGCCAGUUCUGGAAUUCAAGAAGUCUAUAGCUUAAUUAGUUGUUAGUUCUGGAACUAUACAACAUUUUAGCCAUUAUGUCACAUAAAAUGUCAAAUUAUAGUGUCAAGUUUAAAUACAAUUUGAAAAACCUUUUGUGUGUGUAAGUAACAGAUCUUCACCAAAUUGGAAUCCUGGUUAUUUGCCUGUGUCACACAGAAUUUAUAUAUAUGUAUUUUUAGCUUUUUAGGGCCGCAAAUUUGGUAUAUGAAAGUUCUCAGGCUAUGGGGAGAAUUGCCGGUGGCUAUAGCUACAAUUAGACCCCUAGCCUGGGAACCUCCAUGUGCUGCAGGAGCGGCCCCAGAAAAGGCAAAAAGACAAAAAAAAAAUAAAAAUAAAAAUAAAGUAAAAUUGUAUUAAUCACUCCAAACUACCAUCCUUCUUCAUGAAAUGAUGUAAUAAGCAGUCUUCAGAACUAUUCUAAGAUGAAAGCAAAAUGAAGAUCAAAAUCUGUUAGUUGAUGAAAAUUCCCUUUGUAGUGCCAGCCAUAAAGCAGGAGAAAGCUGUAAUACAAAGACUACAGACUGAAUUAAAUAUUCCUAAAUGAUUAUUUGGGACUAUAGGGGGGAAAACCUUUAUGUCAAAACUUUAACAACUGAAAUGGACUGAAAACAGGAAGAAGUGAAAUACAAUUUAAUUAAACUUAGGAAAGAAAUGGAAAAGUAGGUAAAGUCAUAAGCAGUAAAUUAUGACUAAAUUAUAAGAUCCUCAAGGAAUAGGAAAAUUCAGUGAGGGGCAUUGAAAACAUAGGCAAAAAACCAAGAGUAUGAAAAUAGGAUAAAGGUAAAAUGAGUCUUACAGAAAGUUGUUGAAAUAUAACAACAGGUAGGGAAGAUCUGGCCUGUAGAUAAUUGGAAUUCCUGGAGAAGAAAAGCAAAGCAGUGACACAGAACUAACAUUAAAACUAUAAUAGGGGAGUUCCGUCGUGGCGCAGUGGUUAACGAAUCCGACUAGGAACCAUGAGGUUGCGGGUUCGGUCCCUGACCUUGCUCAGUGGGUUAACAAUCCGGCGUUGCCGUGAGCUGUGGUGUAGGUUGCAGACGCGGCUCGGAUCCCACGUUGCUGUGGCUCUGGCGUAGGCCGGUGGCUACAGCUCC